This 464-nucleotide ribosomal RNA is filed under the name uncultured bacterium. RNAcentral's name for it is "bacterial SSU rRNA". It matches the Rfam family "Bacterial small subunit ribosomal RNA", at positions 28 to 524 of the family's 1533-position model. The record is from RNAcentral.
GAUGAACGCUGGCGGCGUGCCUAAUACAUGCAAGUCGAGCGGCAGCACGGUCUUCGGACUGGUGGCGAGCGGCGGACGGCUGAGUAACGCGUAGGAAUAUACCCCAAAGUGAGGGAUAACUGCCCGAAAGGGUGGCUAAUACCGCAUGUGGUCUUCGGACUAAAGCCUUCGGGCGCUUUGGGAAUAGCCUGCGUAAGAUUAGCUAGUUGGUGAGGUAAUGGCUCACCAAGGCGACGAUCUUUAGCUGGUCUGAGAGGAUGACCAGCCAGACUAGGACUGAGACACGGUCCAGACUCCUACGGGAGGCAGCAGUAGGGAAUUUUCCACAAUGGGCGAAAGCCUGAUGGAGCAACGCCGCGUGCAGGAUGAAGGCCCUCGGGUCGUAAACUGCUUUUAUGUGCGAAGAAUAUGACGGUAACACAUGAAUAAGGGUCGGCUAACUACGUGCCAGCAGCCGCGGUAAU